Molecule: RNase P RNA, 343 nt
Filed under: Candidatus Saccharimonadota bacterium
Lineage: Bacteria; Candidatus Saccharimonadota
Description: RNase P RNA component class A
Rfam family: Bacterial RNase P class A
About the family: Ribonuclease P (RNase P) is a ubiquitous endoribonuclease, found in archaea, bacteria and eukarya as well as chloroplasts and mitochondria. Its best characterised activity is the generation of mature 5'-ends of tRNAs by cleaving the 5'-leader elements of precursor-tRNAs.
Source: RNAcentral
GGAGCCUGAAAGGCAAUCGCUUGUUAAAAAGAGGAAAGUCCGGGCAACAAAGAGCGGGGUAGUCGCUAACAGCGACCGUCUGUAAAGAUAGGGAAAGUACCACAGAAACUUAAACUGCCUAGUUUACUGGGUGAUGGUGAAAAGAGUGAGGUAAGAGCUCACAGCGAUUUGUAGCGAUACGAAUUGGAGGCAAACCCUACCCGUUGCAAGGAGUGCUAUAAGCUUUUGCUCGAAGACGCACGCUUACCGCUAGAGUGCUAUAGCAAUGUAGCGCCAAGAUAGAUGAUUGCCAGUCUAUAUUUUUAUAUAGACUACAAAACCCGGCUUAACGACGGCUCAAUUC